GCCCAGAUGGCGGAAUUGGUAGACGCGCUAGCUUCAGGUGCUAGUAUCUGUACGGAUGUGGAGGUUCAAGUCCUCUUCUGGGCA
This 84-nucleotide transfer RNA is filed under the name Allopseudospirillum japonicum. RNAcentral's name for it is "Pseudospirillum japonicum tRNA". It matches the Rfam family "tRNA". From Rfam's summary of the family: Transfer RNA (tRNA) molecules are approximately 80 nucleotides in length. Lineage: Bacteria; Pseudomonadati; Pseudomonadota; Gammaproteobacteria; Oceanospirillales; Oceanospirillaceae. The record is from Rfam by way of RNAcentral.